RNAcentral lists this ribosomal RNA (110 nucleotides) under uncultured bacterium. RNAcentral describes it as "partial 16S ribosomal RNA". It matches the Rfam family "Bacterial small subunit ribosomal RNA", at positions 382 to 508 of the family's 1533-position model. The record is from RNAcentral.
CCUGAAGCAGCAACGCCGCGGUGGGGGAUGACGGCCUUCGGGUUGUAAACCUCUUUCCCGGGGACGAUAAUGACGGGUACCCGGGGAAUAAGUCACGGCUAACUACGUGC